This 255-nucleotide ribosomal RNA is filed under the name uncultured marine eukaryote. RNAcentral describes it as "partial 18S ribosomal RNA". It matches the Rfam family "Eukaryotic small subunit ribosomal RNA", at positions 1200 to 1456 of the family's 1831-position model. The record is from RNAcentral.
UCAACGCGGGGGACCUCACCAGGCCCGGACACCGGAAGGAUUGACGGAUUGAGAGCUCUUUCUUGAUUCGGUGGGUGGUAGUGCAUGGCCGUUCUUAGUUGGUGGAGCGAUUUGUCUGGUUAAUUCCGAUAACGAAUGAGACUCUGGCCUACUAACUAGUCGUCGGAUUGUCUUGAACCGGCUUCGGUCGGUUGCCCGUCGCAACUUCUUCUUAGAGGGAUCUGCGUCAUCUAGACGCAAGAGACUGAGCAAUAA